Molecule: long non-coding RNA, 1064 nt
Organism: Nyctereutes procyonoides (raccoon dog)
Lineage: Eukaryota; Metazoa; Chordata; Mammalia; Carnivora; Canidae
Exons: 4
Source: RefSeq, a predicted model, not a curated record
AGGAUUGUCAGCCACCACCAGAAGCUGGAAGAGGGACUCGGAAUCCCCCCUCAGAAUCUGCAAUAGAAACCAAUUCUGCCAACAUCUUGAGUUUGGACUUCUGGCCUCCAGAAAGAUUCCAGUACACUGGCUCUGGCUGACGAUUCAGUUUGCUCAGUAGGCUACCAAGCACGAGAGCCAUCCCAGCCUAAUGGCCUCCUUGUUCAAUUACUUUAACAAAAGCAAGCCCACACCCUGUGGCAUCAUCACCAAAAAUGGAUCCAGUGAGUUCCAGAAGAAUUGUGUUUACUCCCUCACACUCCAUGCCUGGCACUGGGGCACCUGGCCCAUUGUUCUAGGACCAGCUUUGAUGGGGAAAAGAGAUGGGUAAAAACAACCACACCCACUCAGGUGGUCCUUCUCAGCCUCCAGGCCAAAUGCCUCCAUCAUCCUACCUCAGAAACUUCACUCACACUACAUUCAAGGCCCCAGAACUCACCAGUCUGAAUUUGAUCCAUUUCCCAGACCCAGUCAUGUGGGGCUCACACACCCCUGAUCCUCCUUCCUCUGUGACACCUGCCAGCACAGCAUGGAAUCACUUGAUCAACAUAACACCUCACAGUCACACAGAAUGACAGAGAGAGGCAGAGACACAGACAGAGGGAGAAGCAGGCUCCAUGCACCGGGAGCCCGACGUGGGAUUCGAUCCCGGGUCUCCAGGAUCGUGCCCUGGGCCAAAGGCAGGCGCCAAACCGUUGCACCACCCAGGGAUCCCAUGGAGUCACUUUUUUCAAGGGAAAAAGCAGAUAUCAUCAACACAAGUGCAUAAAGAACAAAACCUAACUUCACCUAACAGGAGUUUAUAACUCUCGUCAGAGAUGGGCAGAAGAUGCCAGCCAAUACCUAAACACGAAGUCUGUUCACACCAUCUCUGGACUUUCCUGUUGGCCUGACUCAGGUACCCUGAUCCAAAUAAAGAAGGAGGCCACUAGGCAACCAAUCAGAUAAAAAUAGCCAAAUAGCUUCUGUAUUUACCCUAUAAAAAUCCCUUUGGAGCAACUUGGAACUCAUUGCCCGGUAACCGA